AGGAGAAACUGGAAGUACUCCGGAGAAAAUUGUUCCUGUACUCUCGCCUUCUCUUUUUUCUUCUUCUGGUAGCAAACCGGAGUAUUUUUUGCUUCUGUUUACUCCGGAGUGACUUCCGUGUACUGGAACAAAUCUAUGGAUUUCAACUCAAAUGCAACAACCGAUUCCGACUCGAAAUCGGUUGUCGCAUUUGAGUUGGAAUCCAUACUGACUCCAUUCAGGAUUCCGAAUUAAAUUCCGCAUGGUUUGACCGGGUUUUUCCUCGGCGUAGAAAUCUCGAAUUAUCGAUCACAUCAAGUUGAGUUCAAUCAGUUUAAGUUUUCAACAAAGACGUGGAACCAGAAGCAACAAAAAUGGCGUCGGAUGCACCGAUUGGGAGUAUGGCACGUGCAGCCGCAGUAGCAGGAAUAGCAAUCGGUUCGAAGGUUUUAGCUUCAACCGUAGGCAAAAAGGCUUUGAGAGCCGGUUUAAUUCGAGGCUCAAUCGGAGCAUCCCGGGUGGCUGGAGCAGUGCUGCCGUCGAAAGUGUGGAGAUCAGCGGCUGUUUAUACAGGAACGCGAUGCGCGAACUACGUUGGAUCUUACUGGAUUCCGCCACUUUCGACGGCGCUAAUGGCCUUCGAUGCUUACAAGCUGUUGUGCUACGUGUCCGGCCUGCUCCGCGCUCGUUUAUGAGAUGAUUCAAGAAUUACAAGAAUUUUGUGAAAGUUUCGAAAUACAAUGAAUUAAUUUUU
This is a long non-coding RNA of Topomyia yanbarensis, 733 nucleotides long. RefSeq lists it as uncharacterized. Lineage: Eukaryota; Metazoa; Arthropoda; Insecta; Diptera; Culicidae. The transcript is spliced from 2 exons. The record is from RefSeq and is a predicted model, not a curated record.